RNAcentral lists this ribosomal RNA (497 nucleotides) under uncultured bacterium. Its description in RNAcentral is "partial 16S ribosomal RNA". It matches the Rfam family "Bacterial small subunit ribosomal RNA", at positions 28 to 507 of the family's 1533-position model. The record is from RNAcentral.
GAUGAACGCUGGCGGCGUGCCUAAUACAUGCAAGUCGAGCGAACAGAUGAGGAGCUUGCUCCUCUGACGUUAGCGGCGGACGGGUGAGUAACACGUGGAUAACCUACCUAUAAGACUGGGAUAACUUCGGGAAACCGGAGCUAAUACCGGAUAAUAUAUUGAACCGCAUGGUUCAAUAGUGAAAGACGGUUUUGCUGUCACUUAUAGAUGGAUCCGCGCCGCAUUAGCUAGUUGGUAAGGUAACGGCUUACCAAGGCAACGAUGCGUAGCCGACCUGAGAGGGUGAGCGGCCACACUGGAACUGAGACACGGUCCGGACUCCUAAGGGAGGCAGCAGUAGGGAAUCUUCCGCAAUGGGCGAAAGCCUGACGGAGCAACGCCGCGUGAGUGAUGAAGGUCUUCGGAUCGUAGAACUCUGUUAGUAGGGAAGAACAAAUGUGGAAGUAACUAUGCACGUCUUGACGGUACCUAAUCAGAAAGCAACGGCUAACUUCGUG